UGGCCUUGGGGUCUUGCUCAGCUCAUAACCUCACAUCACUGUCUCCCUCUUCUCAUCUUACUUCCUCAGCCAGGCAAGCUGACCGAGGCCUUCAAGUACUUCCUGCAAAGCAUGGGCUACAUGGCCUCAUCCUGCAUGACUCGCCUGUCCCGAUCUCGCACAGCUUCCCUGACCAGUGCAGCAUCCAUUGACGGCAGCGGGUCCCACGUUCAAACCUUGUCCCAGAGCAGCGAGUCUGGGACUCUCCCUUCAGGGACCCCAGGGCACACCAUGGAGGUCUCCUGUUGAAUGGCCCUUAUAGUCCUGGUGUGGGACCCAGCCUCACCUCCCCUAACACUAAACUGGGAGGUAUGUAGAACACUGGGCCAGAGUGAACAAGGGAAGACAGGCAGAUCAUGUGGGAAGAUGACCUUGAUCUUUGAU
This is a long non-coding RNA of Pipistrellus kuhlii (Kuhl's pipistrelle), 423 nucleotides long. RefSeq lists it as uncharacterized. The transcript is spliced from 2 exons. The record is from RefSeq and is a predicted model, not a curated record. Lineage: Eukaryota; Metazoa; Chordata; Mammalia; Chiroptera; Vespertilionidae.